GACGAACGCUGGCGGCGUGCUUAACACAUGCAAGUCGAACGGAAAGGCCCUGCUUUUGUGGGGUGCUCGAGUGGCGAACGGGUGAGUAACACGUGAGUAACCUGCCCUUGUCUUUGGGAUAACUUCAGGAAACUGGGGCUAAUACCGGAUAGGAGCUCCUGCUGCAUGGUGGGGGUUGGAAAGUUUCGGCGGUUGGGGAUGGACUCGCGGCUUAUCAGCUUGUUGGUGGGGUAGUGGCUUACCAAGGCUUUGACGGGUAGCCGGCCUGAGAGGGUGAACGGCCACAUUGGGACUGAGAUACGGCCCAGACUCCUACGGGAGGCAGAAGUGGGGAAUAUGGCACAAUGGGCGGAAGCCUGAUGCAGCAACGCCGCGGGCGGGAUGACGGCCUUCGGGGUGUGAACCGCUUUCGCCUGUGACGAAGCGUGAGUGACGGUAAUGGGUAAAGAAGCACCGGCUAACUACGUG
RNAcentral lists this ribosomal RNA (468 nucleotides) under uncultured bacterium. RNAcentral's name for it is "partial 16S ribosomal RNA". It matches the Rfam family "Bacterial small subunit ribosomal RNA", at positions 28 to 507 of the family's 1533-position model. The record is from RNAcentral.